RNAcentral lists this unclassified non-coding RNA (345 nucleotides) under soil metagenome. RNAcentral's name for it is "partial contains 5.8S ribosomal RNA, internal transcribed spacer 2, and large subunit ribosomal RNA". The stretch from base 1 to 120 matches the Rfam family "5.8S ribosomal RNA", at positions 35 to 154 of the family's 154-position model. The record is from RNAcentral.
GAUGAAGAACGCAGCGAAAUGCGAUACGUAAUGUGAAUUGCAGAAUUCAGUGAAUCAUCGAGUCUUUGAACGCACAUUGCGCCCCCUGGUAUUCCGGGGGGCAUGCCUGUCCGAGCGUCAUUGCUGCCCUCAAGCACGGCUUGUGUGUUGGGCCUCCGUCCUCCUCCCGGGGGACGGGCCCGAAAGGCAGCGGCGGCACCGCGUCCGGUCCUCGAGCGUAUGGGGCUUCGUCACCCGCUCUUGUAGGCCCGGUCGGCGCUUGCCGACACAUCAAUCUUUUUUCCAGGUUGAACUCGGAUCAGGUAGGGAUACCCGCUGAACUUAAGCAUAUCAAUAAGCGGAGGA